GAGUGAUUUGUGCAUAAUAGACAAAGGCGGCCAUUGUUCCUCUCACUCCUAGUGAAAAGCCAAUUGUCCCGGUUGAUAUAUUAUCGAAUAGAUAUUUGAAAAACACCUUGAGGAUUGAUUAUAAAAAACGUUUGCCAUGUUUCUGUCGAUAUUAUGGAUCUAAUUUGUCGUGACCGCAAUUUCCGGUGGAUUUCUCAACAAAACGUGAACAAGAAAAGGAGGUAUUUCGGCUAUAAAAAUAAUCUUUAUGGAACAAAAUAAACAUUUGCUGUCUAACUGGGAGUCUCGUGAGUGAAAACAUCCGAAGCUCAUCAAAGAUGUCUCUCUUUCCAUUCAUCAAAUGGCGUGAAUGCACUGUUUAGAUGCUGGAAUUACUAUGGACUGGACAAACAUGCACAGGAGGGGUGCGUGACUUGAGUGGGUUGAGUCACUGAUGUGAUCUUCCUGUCUGGGUUGGCGCCCCCCCUUGGGUUGUGCCGUGGCGGAGAUCUUUGUGGGCUAUACUCGGCCUUGUCUCAGGAUGGACCUGAGCCCUAGGACCAUGCCUCAGGACUACCUGGCAUGAUGACACCUUGCUGUCCCCAGUCCACCUGGCCGUGCUGCUGCUCCAGUUUCAACUGUUCUGCCUGCGGCUAUGGAACCCUGACCUGUUCACCGGACGUGCUACCUGUCCCAGACCUGCUGUUUUCAACUCUCUAGAGACAGCAGGAGCGGUAGAGAUACUCUUAAUGAUCGGCUAUGAAAAGCCAACUGACAUUUACUCCUGAGGUGCUGACUUGCUGCACCCUCGACAACUACUGUGAUUAUUAUUAUUUGACCAUGCUGGUCAUUUAUGAACAUUUGAACAUCUUGGCCAUGUUCUCUUAUAAUCUCCACCCGGCACAGCCAGAAGAGGACUGGCCACCCCUCAUAGCUUGGUUCCUCUCUAGGUUUCUUCCUAGGUUUUGGCCUUUCUAGGCAGUUUUUCCUAGCCACCGUGCUUCUACACCUGCAUUGCUUGCUGUUUGGGGUUUUAGGCUGGGUUUCUGUAAAGCACUUAGAGAUAUCAGCUGAUGUAAGAAGGGUUAUAUAAAUACAUUUGAUUUGAUUUGAUAGCAGGAGGGUGAUGGAAGAGAGGCUAACUGCCUGUAUAGACCACCAUUGACUUCAGAGCAUCAUGUUCUGAUUAACUCCAGGGGUGCAUGAUUCCAUUUUGGUGGAUACCUUUUGCCUCCAACACAGUGUCUAAUUUAUUUUAAAUUACGCAGAGGGGAAAGGAAAGAUGGGAAACUUUCUCUCUCUCUUUUGAUUAACCGCUGUGGGAACACAAAACCAAAAGGAAUGAAGAGAAACCUUUUCAAAGUGAAAAGUUCAUUUUCCUUAGCUGGUUGGAAAAUGUUAAUUACUCAAAUCUACCAGUUUUGGGGGUCAUUAGUGUACUUCAGAAAGUUCUGCUCUUUGCCAAACUUUGCUCUAAAAUUAAGCCUCACUAGAUGGAUGUCUGAGGAUGUCCUGAGAGAGAGGUUGGCACAGGGAUACUCCACGUUGCUGCCUGCCUGCCUGCCUGCAGGCUUACUACUGCUACAAAGAGACCCACAUUUACACAGUAACUCAAAUCCAAAUUAUAACGCCAUCAAAGGAGACAUUACUUCAACCCACAUAGAUGGUUUCCUAUUCUCCCAUGAUGUGUACAGUGUGUUGUUAAUGAAGUGUGGUGCUGGCUGAGGUCCUGGGAGCCCUCUGGUCCAAAGGGCUUUGAAAGAAACUAUUCAGAACAUGGCUGAACCGGGGCCAAGUCAAACGACGCCUGCUCCUUUCAUCACAACAUCUGGGGUGCCACAAAAACAUUCUGGAAGGAUCCAGUCUGCUGAGACCCAAUCAGCUCCCAACACAUCCGUCUCCAUCCCCCUUCCUCCUCCUCAAACCUCAUCCUGCCAUCCUUCCCCCGUUCCCUGCAGGACACAAACCUCUCAUUCAUACUGGUCAGUUCUAUUCCUUGGUGCCAAGGAAACUGUUGUUGUACCACCCCCACCAUCCCACCACUGACACACAAAGGAUGGUAUUAAGAUGUCUGUGUAUAAAUCCUCACUGCAUACAAAUCUGUAAGUCAAUGUGGCUGGUGAGCCCUGAGCUGCCUGCCCUCUGCCAUCCAUGCUUCAGAUAACAAGAUGAGUAUGUAGGCAUCCAUUAAAAGUCUGGCUAGUGGUUCCCUCAUAUACGUCAACUUGAGCUAUUAAUAUACAGUGCAUUUGGAAAGUAUUUAGGCCCGUUGACUUUUUCCACAUUUUGUUACGUUACAGCCUUAUUCUAAAAUGGAUUAAAUAAAUAAAUAAUCCUCAUCAAUCUACACACAAUACCCCAUAAUGACAGAGCGAAAACAGGUUUUUAGACAUUUUAGCAAAUAUAAGAAAAAUAACAAAUUAUUUACAUAAGUAUUCAGACCCUUUGCUAUGAGACUCAAAAUUGAGCUCAGGUGCGUCCUGUUUCCAUUGAUAAUCAACUUUUUUGUUGUACUUUUACCAAUUUUUCAUGAUAUCCAAUUGGUAGUCACCGUCUUGUCCCAUCGAUGCAACUUCCCUACGGACACGGCAGAUGCAAAGGUUGAGAGCCAUUUGUCCUCCGAAACACCACCCUGCCAACCCGCACUGCUUCGUGACACACUGCUCACUUAACCCGGAAGCCAGCCGCACCAAUGUGUCAGAGGAAACACUGUCCAGCUGGCGACUGAAGACAGUGUGCAGGCAUUUGGCCCGCCACAAGGAGUUGCUAGAGUAUGGUCGGACAAGGAAAUCCCUGCCGUCCAAACCCUCCCAUAAACCGGGCGACGCCAGGCCAAUUUUGCGCUUCCUCAUGGGUCUCACGGUCAAUGCCGGAUGUGACACAGCCCGGGAUCGAACCCGGGUCUGUAGUGAUGUUUCAAGCACUGCAAUGCAGUGCCACUUGGGAGGCUCCCAUUGAUCAUCCUUGAGAUGUUUCUACAACUUGAUUGGAAUCCACCUGUGGUAAAUUCAAUGAAGGUCCCGCAGUUGACAGUGCAUGCCAAAGCAAAAACCAAGCCAUGAGGUCGAAGGAAUUGUCCGUAGAGCUCAGAGACAGGAUUGUGUAGAGGCACAGAUCUGGGGAACGGUACCAAAAAAUGUCUGCAGCAUUGAAGGUCGCUAAGAACACAGAGGCCCACAUCAUUCUUAAAUGGAAGAAGUUUGGAACCACCAAGACUCUUCCUAGAGCUGGCCAUCCAGCCAAUCUGAGCAAUCUAGGGAGAAGGUCCUUGGUCAGGGAGGUGACCAAGAACCCGAUGGUCACUCUGAUAGAGCUCCAGAGUUCCUCUGUAGAGAUGGGAGAACCUUUCAGAAGGACAACCAUUUCUUCAGCACUCUACCAAUAAGGCCUCUGUGAUAGAGUGGCCAGACGGGAUCCACUCCUUAGUAAAAGGCACAUGACAGCCCGCUUGGGAGUUUGCCAAAAGGUACCUAAAGGACUCUCAGACCAUGAGAAACAAGAUUCUCUGAUCUGAUGAAACCAAGGUUGAGAACUCUUUGACCUGAAAGCCAAGUGUCAUGUCUGGAGGAAACCUGGCACCAUCUCUAUGGUGAAGAAUGUUGGUGGCAGCAUCAUGCUGUGGGGAGAUUUUCAGUGACAGGGACUGGGAGACUAGUCAGGAUCGAGGGAAAGAUGACUGGAGCAAAGUACAGAGAGAUCCUUUUUGUAAAAAAUCCUCCAGAGCGUUCAGGACCUCAGACUGGGGCAAAGGUUCAGCUAGUGGGCUAAACCGGCAUGGCGGCUUGUUAGACAAAAGGGGAAGUGGUGGUCGACUAAGAAGUCACGACAGAGUGAUAAUUAUAACAAUUGAAAUGCUAAUCCUUUGCACAUGAACGCUCAGUAUGUCGUCUUGAUUUCUGGUGAAAAGUUAGUUUCUGUUGGAGAGUCGUGUCCUCUCUCCCUCUCUGUCUUGGUUAGAGAGAAUAGUUCAGAGUGACAUUCAUUCAUUUGUUAUAGAAUGGAUGUUUCGGCGGUUGUCGUUCUUCGCGUUCAAUGAUAUCGAAUUCCUAGCUGCAGACUAGUAAUUAAUAUCAAAGACUUGUUCUUAUUCUGUCGGUAUCGAUAGUAUAAGAGUUUAACCACGUGGUAUGGUUAAAAGAUUCAGCAAUGGUCUACAACUUUCGUCCUCUCCUAAUGGAGAAAAACAUGGUCUGGUGAUAAUUUCUCAAAGUUGGAUUUUAUUUGGAAUUGCAGAAAAGGGGCUGUCCCAGGAUGCCUGACCCUAACUGGGCUCAGGGGUGGUCCUCUGAUUUAGUUCAAAUCAAAAGGGAAUUGUAUUUUCCUUCAUUAAACAGUCCAAAAUCAUAUUACACAAUUUUACAAACAGUAUCAUACUCACUCAUUCAUCUUAUACAACAAUUAGAUGUAAACCUCAUAUCUGAGGCUAUUAUAUAAACAGCGUUAUGGUAAUGUGGCCACACCGUCUCCCAUGAGCUUCCCCAAGUUGUAAGAAAUGGACCAGUUCGUAGCUGGAUUCUUCACUGAUUUUUUACACUUUCUCUGGAACAUGAAAUGUGUUCCUACCUCAAGUUCUGUGAGCUGGAAGAAAUUCCUUUGUGCUCUAUGAAAAUGUACUCUGCCUCUUAUACUAUGUGGCCAUGUGGCAGGGUCUUCUCAGGAAUUUACGACCUCUCUCUGACCACAGCAGCCUAGUUUAGGGAGGCAAGGGGGAGGCAGGGAGAGGGGGAUGGGGCUUGCUAUACCCAAAGAGGGCAACGUCAUGACAGUACAUACCAUUUUCCUUCCUAUUGAUAUUCUGUCUAUACACACCACAUAUUUAUAAUCUGCACCUGCUAUAACUCCUGCAAAUAUGUGUACACGAACAACAAACUUUGAUUUCAUUUGGUUCGAUUCUGCCUUACCAAGGUCUGUAGAAUUUACUUCAAAUUCCAAUAAAUGGAACCUCCAUGAACGCUUCAACCAUUAGGCCAGCUGGUGGAGCUAUGGAGCCAGUCUGUCUACCCCAGAUAUGAGCCCUUCACUGCCUGACCCUGUUCGUACCUUGGCCUUGCUGGGAAAUGCUACAGCACAGUUGCAGACACUCCCAAUCUGCUCAUUUGGACCCGUUUCAACAUCACCCGUGGGGAAGUUCUGAUUCUACAACAGCAGCGUUUAGUCUGCUUGAUUUGUUUCCUUAACUUCCAACAAAUACAAUCAGUACAGACGCACUCUUACGAAUCCCAAAGUUUGCAAUGAUAUUAGUAGCAGUGCAUGGUCUCUCUUGUCAACACAAUCACAAACCGCACGCACACAC
Molecule: long non-coding RNA, 5272 nt
Organism: Oncorhynchus tshawytscha (Chinook salmon)
Lineage: Eukaryota; Metazoa; Chordata; Actinopteri; Salmoniformes; Salmonidae
Source: Ensembl